Molecule: transfer RNA, 68 nt
Filed under: Scomber scombrus (Atlantic mackerel)
Lineage: Eukaryota; Metazoa; Chordata; Actinopteri; Scombriformes; Scombridae
Description: tRNA-Cys
Source: RNAcentral
AGCUCUGAGGUGUUUUAGCACGAAAGAUUGCAAAUCUUCAGGAGCAGACUAAUCGUCUGCCGGGGCUU